Molecule: long non-coding RNA, 1585 nt
Organism: Prunus persica (peach)
Lineage: Eukaryota; Viridiplantae; Streptophyta; Magnoliopsida; Rosales; Rosaceae
Exons: 3
Source: RefSeq, a predicted model, not a curated record
GAAAGCCUCUAGUUUUUUACAGAAAAUCUGGGGAGAAUACUGAUUAUAGCUCAUUAACAUAUAUACAAUCUUACUUCUUUUGUUGAAUAUUUUUGUAUCAAACUUGAAAAAGUGUGAUUUUUUUUUUUAAUUUUUUAUAAUAAUGUAUAUGCAUGAAGCUUGUUAAAAAUGAAUAAUGAACUAGUUUGGCUAAUAAGAUUUUACUUAGAGUUUUAUUAACAGUAUGUAGACACAAAAUUAGCUAAUCCACCCUUUCGAAGAUUCAUGACUCCGUCCUUUCCUAUUGUAAUUUUGAGAUAAAACUUACGAGUUAGUGUAUGUAGAUUUAGAGUUGAUUAAAGUUUCACUACUAGAAAAGGGGGCAAUAGUCACCCUUUUGUCUCUAAUGUAUUGGUGUUGGUGACAAUUGAGUGGUUGGUCAAUGCUUUUAUUUACUUGUCACUAUUAUUUGUGACUAGUUUCUCACAUUUUAAUUUUUUGGUGACAGUUGAUUUAAAUAUAAUAAAUAUAAAACUAAUUAUUGUGAUUAACACCGAAACAGUAAUUUUUCAUGACUAAUAUUUGAUUAGAGCCUUGCUAAUAAUUGUAAUCCAAUAAAAUAUUCGGUGGAUUUCCCACCUCUCGUUCUCUCUCCUCAACCUCUCUUCUCCUACUUCUCAAACAAAUCAAAACUUACCCCUUUUCUUUUGUAAAGCUCUUCUCUCCCAAAACAACCCAACAACCCCUUUCUCGUCUGAUUUUCUUUUUAGAUCCGGUGGUUUCCACCCCGAUCCCUCCAUUUUUUAGCUAUCUCCUUGCUUUUGACAGAGUUUGUUAUCUCCAUAGUUUUUCUAGGACGUUUCUUUGGCUCUAGGCGGUCCUUUUAGAUCAAAUCUCAAAGCUGAGAUUUUAUGUCUUAGAUCUGAGAGCUAGAGAAGAUCAAGUUCUGCAGGGGCGGUGGAAUUGCUAGAGGCGCCUCUAUUCCCAGGCUUGAAUUACUUUUUUGGGUGGGACAUUACGAAAUUACAGGUAGAACUUCUUUGAUGUAAUGCCUUUUCUUCCUUUUUGUCUUACAGGAUUGCAUCUUCUUUUUAUUUUUAUUUUUUUCUAUCUUAAUAACUUGUGCUGGGCUCCAAGAGUAGAUAUCCCAUCAUCUCUUUGCUGAUUUACUGAGUUUGGCUGCUUAUAUCUUGUGCAUUUGUUUUAUCCCACGGGUCCUUCUGAAUUUGAAUUAUUCUUCAGUUUUUUUUAAUGUCAGUGAUGGUCUUUCUUUCUAUUCUAGCAUUUGGGACUGUUUUCUUUCUUUCUUUGUCAUUUCGAUUUACUUAUAGGGAUAGUGGACACUUCAAUUGCAGGGAUGGAGGAUGCUUCGGUUGCAUCGUUCGUUUGUAUGUUCAAAUCGGAGGAGUGCUUGGAUUAGAAAGUACUAGCAAUAUAUCUUCUUAGGCGUGUAUGUAUUAUUGUUUGUAGAGGAUAGUACAAAUUUUUUAUUCAUUAGGAAAAUAUUGUACUACUUAAUCACCAUCAUGUAUCAAUUGAAUAUUUAUAAAUAAUUAAAUAAUAAUAUUAGAGGAUUUGUUAACACAUGAAGUGCAUUACCAAGGAA